AUAAUAACAACAAUAAAUUAUUAUUUAAUAUAGGUCUCUUGGUGAAGCAUGCAUUAACUAUUCACCUUCUUCCUCACCCAGUUGUAGCUGUUCACACCUUCUCCUUCUCACGCUUUUUCCGUUGCGCAUAAUUUUUCGGCAAGUUCCCGUCGUCUUCUUUUCUCUUCGCAGCACCGGCUGCCACAACAAGUGAACAUCGUGAAGCUUGCGUUCUUUAUCGUCUCCCUCUCUUCUCAUCCGCCAGCCAUCUAUUUUCCUUUCGUGUCUCUGCUGCUCCAUGCUUUAUUAGCUCCGUCCUCCAUCUUGUGCAAUCGUCUUCGAAGCUUUGUUCGGUCCGCAUUGGAGAACGUCCUUGAGCCAUCCCUCUCUAUCUCAAGCUGCGUGCAUCGGUCACCAACUGUCCGAGUUGAAUUCCCCAACUCGAGCUGACAAUCUCUAUCUCUCAGUCGCUUGCCUCUGUUGGUUGUUGACGAGUUUUUUUGGAAUUUCUUCCGACCAAGAUUGAAUUGGUUUAAACCCCUCUUGUUGGUCUCAAUAAUUAUGGAUGUUGAUGAGGGAGAAAGUCCAUACGACAUCAAGGAAUUACAAGAUCUCGAUAAGGUAAUUUUUUUGCCCUCAAUUGAUGUGAACUUGAUGUUAAUAAUGAAAGAUCGUUUAGUUGUAUUUGCUCUUUUAUUUCCUUAUCAAAUGAGAAAAGCCUGAAUGUAUAGCUUGUAUUUGCAAACUGUUGUGUUUGUUACGAUUAAAGAUUUCUAGUGAUAUAGUAUUUUUGUUUAAUAUGAAA
Molecule: long non-coding RNA, 784 nt
Organism: Cucumis sativus (cucumber)
Lineage: Eukaryota; Viridiplantae; Streptophyta; Magnoliopsida; Cucurbitales; Cucurbitaceae
Exons: 3
Source: RefSeq, a predicted model, not a curated record